Zalaria obscura is the source of this 144-nucleotide non-coding RNA. Lineage: Eukaryota; Fungi; Ascomycota; Dothideomycetes; Dothideales; Zalariaceae. The record is from the annotation of a GenBank genome assembly.
GGCGAGGUGGCCGAGUGGUUAUGGUAAGCUCAUUCACUCCAUCUUGGCUUUGGAGAAACAUCGUACUAACAGAUUCGAAAGGCGCUAGUUUCAGGUAAUACCUACUAGUGGGAAACCGCGUGGGUUCGAGUCCCACCCUCGUCA